Molecule: long non-coding RNA, 939 nt
Filed under: Gallus gallus (chicken)
Lineage: Eukaryota; Metazoa; Chordata; Aves; Galliformes; Phasianidae
Description: long non-coding RNA NONGGAT008085
Source: RNAcentral
CCCGUAAGUACAUAGGGACACAGGGGGCAAAGCCACCCCACGCCCGCUGCAUGGCCAAGCCCAGCUGUGCCCUUGGAGCGCCCUCGGGCACACUGCCCCUUCGCUCUGCCACGCAGCAGCACACCAAGCGGGUGCCCGCCGCCUCCCGCCCAUACGGGCCUCACGUGCGCGGCUGAGCCCCGCGCUCUUAACGGCGGUGCGGGUCGGCUGCCGAGCUCGCCUCCAGCGUGGGCUGAGCCGCACAAACCCACGGUUUGCUUAACAGGGAGAAAUGCGACGGGACGGAACCACACGGAACCGAGCGCCGAGAACCCAGCGUAAAAGGCCUGCGAGAGGUGGCAGCAGGGGCACGGGGCCGGCAUCGCGAUCCGCCUCGGUGGCGGCAAACGGGCGCUCCCGAGCGAAAGCGGAGCCCGGAGCAGCUGCCCGCCCCGACUGCAAACUGCCACCCGCUCCAUCACCCCUCUCGGCCCGGAGCUCCCGCCGCCUCCCCGCCCUCUCGUGACCUUGCGGGCCGCCAUGCCGGCCACCAUCGCGCUCCCUGCCCUGCCUACCUCAAGCACGACGCGCCCCAGCGGCUGGUUGUCGGCGCCCACGUCCAGGCCAAACACUGCUGAUGAGGCAGUGGGAGCUUCACUGCAGCACCAGGGCAGUGACAGAAGGAGCAGCUGAGCAGGGGAUGGCUUCUUGCAGCCCUGAUCAGGAAAGCAUGUGUUCCUGGCACACAGGGAAGAACUACUGCAUGUGAAACUGUACAUCAUCUCCUGGUUUUCGUACCACGAGUACCAGCUGCCAUAAGGUGAUUUAUUGUGGGUUUGUUUAACAGUUAGCCCAAUCAGCAUGCAUUUCUAGUUGACUUCUAUCCUCUCAGCCACAAGUCCAUUCUGGAAAAUAGUUCAGUUCACCCAGCCAUCACUCUAUCAAUCUGCUUAUUCUCUG